RNAcentral lists this ribosomal RNA (681 nucleotides) under uncultured bacterium. Its description in RNAcentral is "bacterial SSU rRNA". It matches the Rfam family "Bacterial small subunit ribosomal RNA", at positions 1 to 697 of the family's 1533-position model. The record is from RNAcentral.
CCCUUAGAGUUUGAUCCUGGCUCAGGACGAACGCUGGCGGCGUGCUUAACACAUGCAAGUCGAACGAGAUCCAUGGAGCUUGCUCCGGAAGAUCUAGUGGCGAACGGGUGCGUAACACGUGAGAAACCUGUCCCGGACUUGGGAAUAACAGUCGGAAACGACUGCUAAUACCGAAUACCUUCGAAACGUCGCAUGGCGAAUCGAAGAAAGCUUUUGCGGUUUGGGAGGGUCUCGCGGCCUAUCAGCUUGUUGGCGAGGUAACGGCUCACCAAGGCAUCGACGGGUAGCUGGUCUGAGAGGAUGAUCAGCCACACUGGGACUGAGACACGGCCCAGACUCCUACGGGAGGCAGCAGUGGGGAAUAUUGCACAAUGGGCGCAAGCCUGAUGCAGCAACGCCGCGUGCGGGAAGAAGGCCUUAGGGUUGUAAACCGCUUUCAGCAGGGAAGAAACUGACGGUACCUGCAGAAGAAGGAGCGGCCAACUACGUGCCAGCAGCCGCGGUGACACGUAGGCUCCAAGCGUUGUCCGGAUUUAUUGGGCGUAAAGAGCUCGUAGGCGGUUUAGUAAGUCGGGUGUGAAAACUCUGGGCUUAACCCAGAGACGCCACCCGAUACUGCUAUGACUUGAGUACGGUAGGGGAGUGGGGGAUUCCUGGUGUAGCGGUGAAAUGCGCAGAUAU